GAUGAACGCUGGCGGCGUGCCUAAUACAUGCAAGUCGAGCGAACGGACGAGAAGCUUGCUUCUCUGAUGUUAGCGGCGGACGGGUGAGUAACACGUGGAUAACCUACCUAUAAGACUGGGAUAACUUCGGGAAACCGGAGCUAAUACCGGAUAAUAUUUUGAACCGCAUGGUUCAAUAGUGAAAGACGGUCUUGCUGUCACUUAUAGAUGGAUCCGCGCUGCAUUAGCUAGUUGGUAAGGUAACGGCUUACCAAGGCAACGAUGCAUAGCCGACCUGAGAGGGUGAUCGGCCACACUGGAACUGAGACGCGGUCCAGACUCCUACGGGAGGCAGCAGUAGGGAAUCUUCCGCAAUGGGCGAAAGCCUGACGGAGCAACGCCGCGUGAGUGAUGAAGGUCUUCGGAUCGUAAAACUCUGUUAUUAGGGAAGAACAUAUGUGUAAGUAACUGUGCACAUCUUGACGGUACCUAAUCAGAAAGCCACGGCUAACUACGUG
RNAcentral lists this ribosomal RNA (497 nucleotides) under uncultured bacterium. Its description in RNAcentral is "partial 16S ribosomal RNA". It matches the Rfam family "Bacterial small subunit ribosomal RNA", at positions 28 to 507 of the family's 1533-position model. The record is from RNAcentral.